GUAUCGUAGUGGGGGGGGGGGGGAGGGGGGGGGGAGAAAGAGAGGGGAUAACUUUUUUGUGAAUCUACUACAUAUAAGCCUGUUUAGUAUAUCUCUACCUGUUUAUCUACCUAUCUCUCUACUUCUCUACAUUUCUUUCUAUCUACCUGUCUAUUUAUCUAUCUGCCACUCUACCUGUCUGUCUAUAUACCUGUUCAUCUACCUGUUUGUAUAUACCUGCCUACUAAAUUGCAAGAAGUCUGGUUACCUCCUCUUAUUAUGUGUAUAGAUGAGGCCUUAUAGUAUGCUAAUGCCUGUAUAUUAUGGUCCAACAAUAACAACAAUCAUAUUAUGGUCCGCCUAUGCCCAAUACAACAUGCUAGCAGCCACUAAGUCACAAAGAAAGAUAAGGAAUUAGAAUAACGAAGGAAGGAAGGAAGGAGAAGGUACCAAACACGUGUACCAGAGCGUAUCACGGAAAGAAAAAGAACAUGUGAUUAGGGAAGAAAAAAAGGUCGUUACGUGCGGAAGAGAUAUAAAAAAAAUAAAGAGUAGAAAUGAGGAAAAGAACGAAGGUACCAAACACGUGUCAGGGAAGAUAAAAAAUGUUAUAUAGGACGAAAAUAAAGAUGGUGAGGCACAUGUGAUAUUAUACAAGGAAACAGUCACCGAGAAGGAUAAGAAAUAAGACUAACGAAGGAAGGCAGGUAGGAAGGUAAGAGAAUAGAGAAGGUAGCGAACAGGUGUACCGGAACUUGUCAAGGAGAGAAAUAUAUAUGUGAAGUGGAACAAAAAAACGUUGACGGAGAGAGGAGAAAGAGGGAAAGAUAUGUUAGAUUGAAGGAAAAGAGAAAGAAAAGAGAGUAGGUAGCGAACACGUGUACCAGAAAUUGUUAAGAGAAAUAAAAAAAUGUUAUGAGGGACGAAAAAAUAAAGGAUUGUGAUUUGUGUGUAUUAGGAAACAGUAAAAAAGAAAGGAGUAAAAAGUAGAAGUUGGAAAAGAUGAGAAGAAAGAAAAGAGAGAAGUAGCAAACACGUGUACCAGAACAUGUCAAGGAAAUUAAAAGGUGAAGUGGAACGAGAAAAAAAAAUAGUGCUAUGUAAAGAGAAAAGUAAAAAUUAAAAGUUAGAAAAGAUGAGAAGAAAGAAAAGAAAGAAAGAAGGUAACAAACACGUGUACCAGAACAUGUCAAGGAAAUAAAAAAAAAAUUGUAACGAAAAAUAAAGGAUUGUGACGUGUGUGUAUUUGGAAACAGUCACAACGAGAGAAGCAGAAAUUAAAAGUUGGAAAAGAGGAAAAGAAAGAAAAGAAAGAAGGUAGCAAACACGUGUACCAGAACAUGUCAAGGAAAAAAAAAAUGUAACGAAAAAUAUAGGAUUGUGCCGUGUGUGUAUUUGGAAACAGUCACAACGAGAGAAGUAGAAAUUAAAAGUUGGAAAAGAGGAAAAGAAAGAAAAAGAAAGAAGGUAGCAAACACGUGUACCGGAACAUGUCAAGGAAAUUAAAAAAAAAAUUGUAACGAAAAAUAAAGGAUUGUGAAAUGUGUGUAUUUGGAAACAGUCACAACGAGAGAAGUAGAAAUUAAAAGUUGGAAAAGAGGAAAAGAAAGAAAAGAAAGAAGGUAGCAAACACGUGUACCAGAACAUGUCAAGGAAAUUAAAAAAAAAAUUGUAACGAAAAAUAUAGGAUUGUGACGUGUGUGUAUUUGGAAACAGUCACAACGAGAGAAGUAGAAAUUAAAAGUUGGAAAAGAGGAAAAGAAAGAAAAAGAAAGAAGGUAACAAACACGUGUACCAGAACAUGUCAAGGAGAGAAAAAAAUGUGAGGUAGAACACACACAAAAACGGCUGCAACGUGUGUGUAUCAGGAUCAGGGACGGGAAAAAAAAGUGAAGAAGGGAGAAAGAAAAAAAAUAGGUGGAAGCUACUAACACGAGUGCCGGAAAUGUUAGUAUAUAAAGAGUUUGUGACGCGACCGAGAAAAAAAUGAAGAAAAAAAAUGUUAAGCGCGUGUAAAAACAGAAUUAAAGUCAGGAAUACGUGGAACAGCGAAGAAAAAGGAAGAAAGAAAGAAAGAAAGAAAAGGGUCACUUGUGUACACGAGGAAGAUGGGGUAGAUAGUUUAGAACACCUUUAGAGAAAAUAAUAAUGCUAGAACGUUCAUAGACACACACCACCACCACCAACAACAACAACAGC
Long non-coding RNA from Eriocheir sinensis (Chinese mitten crab), 2178 nucleotides. RefSeq lists it as uncharacterized. Lineage: Eukaryota; Metazoa; Arthropoda; Malacostraca; Decapoda; Varunidae. The transcript has 3 exons. The record is from RefSeq and is a predicted model, not a curated record.